Molecule: long non-coding RNA, 303 nt
Filed under: Salvia miltiorrhiza (redroot sage)
Lineage: Eukaryota; Viridiplantae; Streptophyta; Magnoliopsida; Lamiales; Lamiaceae
Description: long non-coding RNA (SMIL_LNC011073)
Source: RNAcentral
AUUCUUUUUCUAUUUUUUAUUUUUUAACUUUUAGAUAUAUUAAUUAACUUAAAUUAUUCAUUUUACGAUUUAUCACUUAUUUUUCAAAUAGAAGAUGAAGACUGGAAAGGGCGAGAAAAUUUAUCUAAGCUCAAAAUUUGCAGUAAGCAAAUAAACUUGAUCAAAUAUCAAUAAGAAAUAUCGAAAGCUUCUGGAUGUAAUUGCACGCUUCUCAAUUAUAUAUAUUCAUCAUAUGGGGAUUAUGCAUGAUUGCCUUGAACUUUGAGCACUGGAUGAUGACCAUAAAGAAAGCAAAUAGUUGAA